RNAcentral lists this transfer RNA (68 nucleotides) under Scaptonyx fusicauda. RNAcentral's name for it is "tRNA-Val". It matches the Rfam family "tRNA". From Rfam's summary of the family: Transfer RNA (tRNA) molecules are approximately 80 nucleotides in length. Their secondary structure includes four short double-helical elements and three loops (D, anti-codon, and T loops). Lineage: Eukaryota; Metazoa; Chordata; Mammalia; Eulipotyphla; Talpidae. The record is from RNAcentral.
CAAAGUGUAGCUUAAAAAUAAAGCACCUGGCUUACACCCAGAAGAUUUCAUUAAAAUGACCACUUUGA